CUCCCAAGAUUCCGGAAAUGGUGGCACUAGCGCCUGACCCUGCACGGUUCUCGUUAUCUCCAGCCGCUUAAGCCUGCCUAGAUUCUUCCACUUUUAUAUUUAAUGAACACAUCAACUUGCAAGAUUAAUCAUGAACAUUCUGAUAUGUCUGGAGUAUGUUUGCCCCGGUAACUUCAUGGCUUGCUCUUUAUCAGGAUGAGCAUUGCUGUGGGGACGGGCCACUCUCUAUGGGGCAGCUGACCACUCCCUGGCUGAACCGUGGCCCCAGUGAGCCCAGUGCGGCUGUGCAUGUCCUGAGUGUGCUGCUCUAACAGGGGCUCGGAGGCUGCCCUGCCUUCGACUCUGCUCGGAAGUUCUCCCCAGACAAGCCCUCUUGCACAUCUGCAUUAUUGAGCA
Molecule: long non-coding RNA, 396 nt
Organism: Artibeus jamaicensis (Jamaican fruit-eating bat)
Lineage: Eukaryota; Metazoa; Chordata; Mammalia; Chiroptera; Phyllostomidae
Exons: 3
Source: RefSeq, a predicted model, not a curated record